UGGUGCUCCAGGAAAUAGAGAAUGGGCAGAGUUCCCGUCCUGUGGAGCCUACAGUCAGAAAAAUCCUCUACACACCAAGAAGGCUGGCAGAGGAGCAGUUGAUCCACAGUGGGAGCCCAGAGAGGGAAGCUUGAUUUCCCUGCUUGUAAAAGGAACAUAAUGAGACUGAAGUCCUAUAAAGCAUGCAGUUCUGGGGGGAAUAAAUGCUGGACAAGAGGGUGGUUGAUUAAAGUGGUGCCUCCCAAACAGACCGUCCUGUCUCCAGUGAAGCAGAGGAGAAGUGCAGUUGGUGAGCAGUGUUAAAAACCAGGUCCCAACCAGACGAACCAGAUACUCCUCGAUGUUUGAGUCCUCUCAUGAUCCUGCAAUGAUACUUUUUCAGCACAGAAGCAGAAAUGCUGAUACAGCACGAGAGGGGCUCCACACGCAGCUGAUGGAUCUUCUGGAAGCAUUACAAGGCCUCUUCCAUCAGUUGUACCCACCUUUUGUCUUGGAGAACAGGCGGAAUAUUUAAAGGAGAGCUUAGAAAGUCUGUAAACCCACCUCCCAUCCAGUGGCCACUUCCAAACCAGGGCUGAACAUGCCAAGCCAAAAGGAGAGGGCAGGAUGCUCUGGGACACAGACAGGACACAGACACACAGGAUUUCCUCCCUGCUGCCAACUCAGCCCCUAACAAUCAGUUAGUUUUCCUGGAUAUAUUUUUAGAAAGAAGCGGAAGGAGGGAAACCUUUCCUGCAACUUUCAUUUCUGGAAUGAAGUAAUUGCUGGAUCUUAUUUCUGGAACAACAGUUCUGCCUCCUAAGAAGUGAGCACAUUGGGAAUGGCUGAAGCCGUGGGAGGAAGAGUCUGAACAUGCCAUGCAAAGUAUCACAUCUUCCAGUUGGUCAAAGGGACACUGAGAAAUGCCACAGUGCUGGAAUGCCAUGGAUCUGUGGAAAAACCUGGAAAGAAGCUGAGGAAGAGCAGAGAUACCAGACAGCCUGGAAGAUGGGAUACCAUGGAAAUUUGAAGAGGAGUGCUUGGACUGUGUGAGAAGCCUGGCAAGAGCAUGAAUUUGCUGGAAAUGCAGGAGAUGUAUGCACAGUAUUCAGUUCUUUUGUCAUUUAAUCCCAAAUCAUUCCAUGUUUUCCAUUCUUCAGAAAGCCCUCUUUCUCAUGUUGCCUGGAUUAUAUGAGGCUUUUGGCCCUCAGUGAGAAACAACUGUACUGGUUCUUCAGGUCACAGAGAAAAGCUUAGCACAGACAAUCCAGCUGGGAAAGCUGAAAGCCUUUGGGAUGAUGUGUGGGGCUCCCAGUGCUAUCCCUGUGUUACUUUACUAGAAGUCACCAAGACCCAGUCUGAGCUGCCACACGUAUUUGGGUUUUCAGGCCAUGCAUUCUACCUAAAAUGUGGUAAUCUGUGGGAGGAAGAUGGAACAGCCCAGAAAUGGCAUCAUUUUGACACAUGGAAGACAGUGAUUCAGUCAUUUCACAGGUACAUGGACUGCUGCAAAUAUGCAGCUCAUAAAAACCCUGACAGUGUUUGAAGAAGCAGUCUGACAGUGUCAGUCCCCUCGUCAUCCUGCCAACUGGCCAGUCUGUUUUCCAUGUAAGCCAAGGGCUCAUGGAACAGGUGAGCACUUGGUUGGCCUGAGGAAAUAUCCCUGUCUUUGUGCAUGAACCUCUAAUGACAUUUCUUGAUGUGGCCUUGUUCUGUGAGUGAGGAGAGGACCUCAGUCUCUGAGGAUGCUAAUCCAGCACUUCUUGCUGACCUUACACUGACCUACAUAAUUUAAACCAAGCUGAUGCACAAGCGACACAGUUUCUGCUGAGAAAGUGCAAUAUGUGCCAACAUGUUAAUAGUACUUUUUUUUUCCCCUGUCUGUUUAAUCCAGUAUCUGAUGUGAAUGGAGGGAAAAAAUGAUGUGCAACGUAUUCCUUGCACCAAAGCCUUAGAAAAGAAAAUGUAAAUGCACGAGUAUGACACGAACUCCCUCUCUGCGAACACGCGCUCACAGACUGGGAGCUGCCAAAGCACAGUGAGCCAACCUACAGUGUGUAUGUGAUCUACUGAAGGGAGGGGACAGGCCUAAUUUAUGCACUUGGCCCUCAGAGUAGGGCUUACCUCAAUGCUUGUCAAUGCACAGAUUCUGUAAAUCUUUCUGGGAGAAGGAAUGUCAGCUCCCACCAGGCUCUGGGCACGCCGAAAAUGUCGCUCGUGUAGAUGAUGACUUGUGUUCAAUUUGCUGCAGUGGAUGGGCCUGAACCAAACUCUCUUUCUUGUUCCAAACAUCUCUAAAUUUAGGAGUUUUUGGCAACCCAGUCCAGAUAUGAGUCAAUAGUUCUCUGUGUUCCAAAGGAUAAGUAUUAGGCUGCAAAGGUGGGAGCUGUUAUGUAAAUGGGAUAAUAUAAAGGAAUAUCUGUAUUAAUACCUUUGUUAUGCUCAGAGUUAGAGGUUUGCCAAGGCUUAAGUGGACUCAUGAUGGGCUGGACACAUCCAAUUAAUAUAAGUAAUGUGAUUUUUCUUGAACAAAUGUGACUUCUUGGUGCACAUUACAGCUGCUGAGUGUUCCAGCUCUGCUGCAUCUGGUCCUUGGAGGGUUACAAAUGUGUAAUCUGGUGCUGAAGCUGCUCUUAUUUCUGCAUUUGUUUGGUAUUCAAUAAAUGGGUUUGAUUUUCAGUGCUUCUGUCAGGGAAGUAAAAAAUAUUGGGGUCUGUGUUACUGAUGGAUAUAAAAGCCCCAGGGGAAAAAACCCACAGAAUAUGAAAUUAAGAAUGAUGUGUCCACAUGCAAAAUAAGUGCACUGGACCUCCCAUCUCCUUCCUAAUGUCACUGCUGUGUUCAAAGAUUCUACAUCAAGUAAAAUUCUUCCAAGGCUUCUCUCAGUGAA
Long non-coding RNA from Corapipo altera (White-ruffed manakin), 2869 nucleotides. RefSeq lists it as uncharacterized. The transcript is spliced from 6 exons. NCBI's taxonomy places the organism in Eukaryota, Metazoa, Chordata, Aves, Passeriformes, Pipridae. The record is from RefSeq and is a predicted model, not a curated record.